GAAAGGAUUUUUUCAAGAAUUACCAGAAUAGCCUCAUCCUUGUGGUGGGAUAACAUCUUCAUCCACACUUGGCAGAGGGGAGCUGACCCUGCUGACCCAGGCUGCAACACCUGAGAGAUGCCUGGAAGCUUUUGGGAUCUUCAUGUGUUAGCUAUGGGAGUGGGUCAAAUAACCCAUGGAUAUCCAACUCCUGUCCUUACUCUUUCCACUCUCAGCUGAAAUGGGAUGGUUUGCUGCAAAACCAGCCCUUGAAAGGCAGGUUUAAGGAUGACAAGACUGUCCUUCAUUUAUGAGACGGCUGAGUUCCAGUGUGGGGAAAUCCAAAUCUGCUGAAUUCCAGUGUGGUGUUGAUGGUGCCUUUCUGCUAGCAUUGUUUCCUACUAAUUGGUGUUCUUCCUGCUCCUGAAUCAUCAUAACUACUGGUGCCUUCCUUGAAAGUGUUGAUGUAUCUAACAUGGUUGAAGGUCUGGCACAGUGGCUCUGCCAUGUGAGAUGUUGUGGGGCAAAGUCACAGCAGCACUGGCACCAGCCAGAAAUUCUCUCCUCUGUUCCUGCAUAACCUUCCUUCUCCCACACUUCUAAAUUGCUCUAUGGAGAUGAUCCAUUAAGAAUCACAAUAAAGUUUGAACGUUUGAAUAACCUUUGAAAUUAUUGACAAAUUGGCCCCAACGGGCUGCUGAGGAGCUGAACGUAGAAGGAAGAGAUCGAUGGCAAUGCUGCAGAGACAAGGAUCCAGGCUGCACGAGAAAGGGGAUUUGCUGUAUGAUUUUUCAUGCUGCCACUGGAGCACAAGCAUGGCAGGAGUGAUGCAGUCUCACAGUGGACCUGUUUUCCUUCUCAUGUCCUUUUGGCAGGUGGGCUUCACCAGGUGCCUUCUCACAGCAGGGCCUGGGUUCAUCAGGAACUUUGGAAGCUGAAGCCACCAAGGGCUAUAACCCAGUGAGGGCUUAACAUAAGCUUGAAGCUUAUCUUGUGUGAACUUGGAAACUCCAAUACACCUCCUCAUCUCUGGGAUUUCACCCACCUCGUA
This is a non-coding RNA of Zonotrichia albicollis (white-throated sparrow), 1030 nucleotides long. The record is from RefSeq and is a predicted model, not a curated record. Lineage: Eukaryota; Metazoa; Chordata; Aves; Passeriformes; Passerellidae.